UUCUUCAUGCUCAUUGCAGUGUAUAAGUAGCUACAUAAUGUCUUCUUCUUCUUUUUUCUACCGAUCUUUUUAAUUGGAUUUUGGCUUGUCUUCCUGAAUUCGUACUGUAUAUACCCUGUGCUAUGGUUAAGAAUUCUGGAUUUUAUGGUAUCUCUGUUACCUCAAAUAUCAUCAUGGUAUUUCGCGGAGGAUUCUGGACUCUUCUCUUUAGUUCAUUGUGCCAAGCUUAAGAUAAUAUUGAAUAUGGACAUUCCAAUAAGGAGAAGCAAUUUUCCUUUCAUAUGAUCUAGGGGCGCUUUUGAAUAAUUUCAUCUUUUCCUUCUUCUAGGCUGAUGUUAUGCCACUACCCAAUGUUCUUCUUUAUAGGAAGAAAAGGGAGAAACAUCCUUAGCGAAGCGGAAGGGGCGGGGGGGGCGGUUGUGUUUAUUUGGAGGAAAGAAAAAAAAACGCAAAAUAUUAUCAAGAAAAGGGAAAGGAAAAAAGCAAUGAAAUAGCAGGGGAUACGGGAGAUGCAUGGCAUACUCGCUCACCCACAACAUCAAAGAACUACAUACAGUCCUGGACAACUCCAGGAAAGCCACCCAGCAGAAGGGAUUUAGGUGGUAUCUUUCGUGCAAAAGAAUGAUUCACAUUCUUUCACGUUGUUAGAUCACGCAAUAUCUGCUUCGAGAUCUAUGCAGAUGGAUGAGAGGGAGAGAUUUGAUUGCUUUGAAAUCUGUGCACCUCUCCCACCCAUUCUGAUACACCCAGCAGCUAACGUCAGUUACCCGUCCUCUACAAUGCCUCACCCCAACCCCCCUCAGUUCUGCAAUUGCUGAGACGAGAUCAACAUUGUCAUCUUUGAGGCCGUGGAGACCAUCACUUGGCUGAUGGUGGCGCUCUUGACCCUGGCUGUUCCCUCACCCACCUUGACGAGUAAUCAUUCCAACAGUUUCUUGCACAAGGAAAAUCACCUCAGGUCAAGUGAUGACGACUCUUUUACUCAAAAAAAAAAAAAGGUGAUGAUGGGUCCGAGAGAAGAUGUGAGAAAUCCUUUCCAGCCAUAUCCCCAAACAUGUAGUCAUCAUCAAAUAUCCGUCAGCUCUAGUUCUUCUUGGCACCCUCUUCUCCCUCCAAGUGGUCUACAAGGAUCGAGCCGAGCCUGGAGUGACCUGAAUUCUGAACCUUUGCUCGAAGAACUGCCAUAUGGAUGCUGCGGAACUGCCAUAAUAGAGGAACAACUGGUUUGUAAUUCAAGAUGGCUGUUGAAAAGAAUAUGGUCGCAACCACCUCCCUGUUCCCUCUUUCGAAGGUUCUCCAGUGUGAAAAGCGCUGAUCAUCAAUCAAAUAAAGGCUUUCAAAGGGCCUUUUACUUUCAAUAAACGUAUGGGGAAGUGGCCAAGUAGACUUCCAUGCUUGAGGAACCGCUAGGAGCUACUACGCAAGCACACACCCCUGGAGUCCCAUUUCCCCGGUGCCUAUCUACUCUACAGGAGGCGAAUGCAAGCAUUAAUAGGUCAUACUGAAUAAUGUGGGAAAGUGAUGAAAAAAAUACAAAAUACGAUCCAAUAGCCGAUGCCAUGAAAGAAGAUCAAACCGUAGAUAGCAUCGGCAUCAGCCCGAAGCUUCAAAAAAGCUAGGGUGGCACGAAGAAAAAAGCUUCCACAAUGCGGAAACAUAUUACUUGAUGCAGAAUCUGCAAAAAUAUAAGAUCGGAUUGAAAAUUUACGAUCAAUAAAAGAAAUAUGAACACUGGCUAGA
Non-coding RNA from Elaeis guineensis (African oil palm), 1740 nucleotides. Lineage: Eukaryota; Viridiplantae; Streptophyta; Magnoliopsida; Arecales; Arecaceae. The record is from RefSeq and is a predicted model, not a curated record.